GGCUUCUCCCUGCUUCUCUCUCUCCAGAGGUUCUGACAGUUCUUACAUCUCUGGAUAUUCAGCUCGGCAUUGGCUGCCAUCAUAAGCCACCAUCCUGUGCUCAUGCUCAGCCAGAAUACAAAGCAUGAAUCUGGAAGAAAAGUUCAAUCUGGAAACAUCAAUGCUGCUAAGACUAUUGCAGAUAUCAUCCAAACAGGUUUGGGACCCAAGUCCAUGACGAAGAUGCUUUGGGACCCAAUGGGAAGCAUGAUGAUGACCAAUGCUGGCAACGCCAUUCUUCAAGAAAUUCAAGUCCAACAUCCAGCAGCCAAGUCCAUGUUGGAAUUAGCAGGACCCAGGAUGAAGAGGUUGGAGAUGGAACCGCAUUAGUAAUUAUUCUUGCUGGAGAAAUGCUGUCUGUGGCUGAGCACUUCCUAGAGCAGCAGAUGCACCCAACUGUAGGAAUCAGUGCUUACCCCCAAGGCAUGGAUGAUAUGAUCAGCACUCUAAAGAAAAUCAGUAUCCCAUUGACAUCAAUAACAGUGACAUGAUGCUGAACAUCAUCAACGUGCCAUUACCACCAAAGCAACUAGUCGGUAGUCGUCUUUGGCUUGCAACAUCACCAUG
Molecule: long non-coding RNA, 606 nt
Filed under: Marmota monax (woodchuck)
Lineage: Eukaryota; Metazoa; Chordata; Mammalia; Rodentia; Sciuridae
Source: RNAcentral